GACGAAGGGGGGCUAGCGUUGUUCGGAAUUACUGGGCGUAAAGCGAGUGUAGGCGGUUAUCCAAGUCAGGUGUGAAAGCCUUGAGCUCAACUCAAGAAAUGCACUUGAUACUGGGUGACUAGAGGACCGGAGAGGAUAGUGGAAUUCCCAGUGUAGUGGUGAAAUACGUAGAGAUUGGGAAGAACACCAGUGGCGAAGGCGGCUAUCUGGACGGUUACUGACGCUAAGACUCGAAAGCGUGGGGAGCAAACAGG
RNAcentral lists this ribosomal RNA (254 nucleotides) under uncultured bacterium. RNAcentral describes it as "partial 16S ribosomal RNA". It matches the Rfam family "Bacterial small subunit ribosomal RNA", at positions 524 to 776 of the family's 1533-position model. The record is from RNAcentral.